CCUUCGGGACAGGUGCUGCAUGGCUGUCGUCAGCUCGUGUCGUGAGAUGUUGAGUUAAGUCCGCAACGAGCGCAACCCCCCCUGUGUUGCCAGCAUUAAGUGGGGACUCACAGGGGACUGCCGGUGACAAACCGGAGGAAGGUUGGAGACGUCAAGUCAUCAUGGCCCUUACCCAGGGCUAGAAACGUGCUACAAUGGCCGGUACAAUGGGCUCGAUACCCGAGGCGGAGCGAAUCCAUCAAAGCCGGUCUAAGUUCGGAUUGGAGUCUGCAACUCGCUCCAUGAAGGCGGAGUGCUAGUAAUCGCUGAUCAGCAUGC
Molecule: ribosomal RNA, 318 nt
Filed under: uncultured Rubrobacter sp.
Lineage: Bacteria; Bacillati; Actinomycetota; Rubrobacteria; Rubrobacterales; Rubrobacteraceae
Description: bacterial SSU rRNA
Rfam family: Bacterial small subunit ribosomal RNA
Source: RNAcentral